Molecule: ribosomal RNA, 529 nt
Filed under: uncultured eukaryote
Lineage: Eukaryota
Description: SSU rRNA
Rfam family: Eukaryotic small subunit ribosomal RNA
Source: RNAcentral
AGGGCAAGUCUGGUGCCAGCAGCCGCGGUAAUUCCAGCUCCAAUAGCGUAUAUUAAAGUUGUUGCAGUUAAAAAGCUCGUAGUUGGAUUUCUGGGAGGGUGCCAAUGCCGUCAUGCGAUUGGCAGCGGCGCCCUUCCAUCCUUCUGUUAACGUUUCUGAUAUUCAUUUAUUGGUCUCGGGCUCAGAUAUUUUACCUUGAGAAAAUUAGAGUGCUCCAGGCAGGCUUGCGCCGGAAUACAUUAGCAUGGAAUAAUAGAAUAGGACUUUAGUCUCCUUUGUUGGUUUGAGGGACUGAAGUAAUGAUUAAUAGGGAUAGUUGGGGGCAUUAGUAUUUAACUGUCAGAGGUGAAAUUCUCGGAUUUGUUAAAGACUAACUUAUGCGAAAGCAUUUGCCAAGGAUGUUUUCAUUAAUCAAGAACGAAAGUUAGGGGAUCAAAGACGAUCAGAUACCGUCCUAGUCUUAACCAUAAACUAUGCCGACUAGGGAUCGGAGGCGCGCCUUAUCCGCCUUCGGCGCCUUACGGGAAAC